RNAcentral lists this ribosomal RNA (485 nucleotides) under uncultured bacterium. RNAcentral's name for it is "partial 16S ribosomal RNA". It matches the Rfam family "Bacterial small subunit ribosomal RNA", at positions 29 to 506 of the family's 1533-position model. The record is from RNAcentral.
AUGAACGCUAGCGAUAGGCUUAACACAUGCAAGUCGACGGGCAGCACAAGGUAGCUUGCUAUCUGGGUGGCGACCGGCGCACGGGUGCGUAACGCGUAUGCAACUUGCCCUAUACAGGAGGAUAACCCGUCGAAAGACGGACUAAUACUGCGUAUGCUCACAACUUGGCAUCAAGUGGUGAGGAAAGAAAUUCGGUAUAGGAUAGGCAUGCGUCCCAUUAGCUUGUUGGUGAGGUAACGGCUCACCAAGGCAACGAUGGGUAGGGGAACUGAGAGGUUUAUCCCCCACACUGGUACUGAGACCCGGACCAGACCCCUACGGGGGGCAGCAGGAGGGAAUAUGGGUAAAGGGGGGCGACCCUAAACCAGCCAGGUCGCGUGAAGAAUGACUGUCUUAUGGAUUGUAAAUUUUUUUUAUACGGGAAAAACAAGGGUCACGUGUGACCCCCGGCAUGUCCCGUAUAAAUAAGCAUCGGCUAACUCCGU